Molecule: ribosomal RNA, 468 nt
Filed under: uncultured bacterium
Lineage: Bacteria
Description: partial 16S ribosomal RNA
Rfam family: Bacterial small subunit ribosomal RNA
Source: RNAcentral
GACGAACGCUGGCGGCGUGCUUAACACAUGCAAGUCGAACGGAAAGGCCCUGCUUUUGUGGGGUGCUCGAGUGGCGAACGGGUGAGUAACACGUGAGUAACCUGCCCUUGACUUUGGGAUAACUUCAGGAAACUGGGGCUAAUACCGGAUAGGAGCUCCUGCUGCAUGGUGGGGGUUGGAAAGUUUCGGCGGUUGGGGAUGGACUCGCGGCUUAUCAGCUUGUUGGUGGGGUAGUGGCUUACCAAGGCUUUGACGGGUAGCCGGCCUGAGAGGGUGACCGGCCACAUUGGGACUGAGGAACCGCCCAGACUCCUACGGGGGGCAACAGUGGGGAAUAUUGCACAAUGGGCGGAAGCCUGAUGCAGCAACGCCGGGGUCGGGAUGACGGCCUUCGGGUUGGAAACCGCUUUCGCCUGGGACGAAGCGGGAGGGACGGUAAUGGGUAAAGAAGCACCGGCUAACUACGUG